Molecule: ribosomal RNA, 253 nt
Filed under: uncultured bacterium
Lineage: Bacteria
Description: partial 16S ribosomal RNA
Rfam family: Bacterial small subunit ribosomal RNA
Source: RNAcentral
UACGGAGGAUCCAAGCGUUAUCCGGAAUCAUUGGGUUUAAAGGGUCCGUAGGCGGUUUUGUAAGUCAGUGGUGAAAGCCCAUCGCUCAACGGUGGAACGGCCAUUGAUACUGCAAGACUUGAAUUAUUAGGAAGUAACUAGAAUAUGUAGUGUAGCGGUGAAAUGCUUAGAGAUUACAUGGAAUACAGAUUGCGAAGGCAGCUUACUACACAAUGAGUGACACUGAGGCACGAAAGCGUGGGGAUCAAACAGG